Molecule: ribosomal RNA, 566 nt
Filed under: uncultured bacterium
Lineage: Bacteria
Description: partial 16S ribosomal RNA
Rfam family: Bacterial small subunit ribosomal RNA
Source: RNAcentral
UGGGGAAUUUUGGACAAUGGGCGAAAGCCUGAUCCAGCAAUGCCGCGUGUGUGAAGAAGGCCUUCGGGUUGUAAAGCACUUUUGUCCGGAAAGAAAUCCUUGGCUCUAAUACAGUCGGGGGAUGACGGUACCGGAAGAAUAAGCACCGGCUAACUACGUGCCAGCAGCCGCGGUAAUACGUAGGGUGCAAGCGUUAAUCGGAAUUACUGGGCGUAAAGCGUGCGCAGGCGGUUUGCUAAGACCGAUGUGAAAUCCCCGGGCUCAACCUGGGAACUGCAUUGGUGACUGGCAGGCUAGAGUAUGGCAGAGGGGGGUAGAAUUCCACGUGUAGCAGUGAAAUGCGUAGAGAUGUGGAGGAAUACCGAUGGCGAAGGCAGCCCCCUGGGCCAAAUACUGACGCUCAUGCACGAAAGCGUGGGGAGCAAACAGGAUUAGAUACCCUGGUAGUCCACGCCCUAAACGAUGUCAACUAGUUGUUGGGGAUUCAUUUCCUAGUAACGUAGCUAACGCGUGAAGUUGACCGCCUGGGGAGUACGGUCGCAAGAUUAAAACUCAAAGGAAUUGAC